RNAcentral lists this non-coding RNA (23 nucleotides) under Arabidopsis thaliana (thale cress). The record is from RNAcentral. Lineage: Eukaryota; Viridiplantae; Streptophyta; Magnoliopsida; Brassicales; Brassicaceae.
GAGACGUUAACUUAAGGUCCUGA